This 429-nucleotide ribosomal RNA is filed under the name Bacteroidota bacterium. RNAcentral describes it as "Bacteroidetes bacterium partial 16S ribosomal RNA". It matches the Rfam family "Bacterial small subunit ribosomal RNA", at positions 355 to 776 of the family's 1533-position model. The record is from RNAcentral. Lineage: Bacteria; Pseudomonadati; Bacteroidota.
UAGGGAAUCUUCCGCAAUGGACGCAAGUCUGACGGAGCAACGCCGCGUGAGUGAAGAAGGAUUUCGGUUCGUAAAACUCUGUUGUUAGAGAAGAACAGCGCAUAGAGUAACUGUUAUGCGUGUGACGGUAUCUAACCAGAAAGCCACGGCUAACUACGUGCCAGCAGCCGCGGUAAUACGUAGGUGGCAAGCGUUGUCCGGAUUUAUUGGGCGUAAAGCGAGCGCAGGCGGUCAAUUAAGUCUGAUGUGAAAGCCCCCGGCUCAACCGGGGAGGGUCAUUGGAAACUGGUUGACUUUAGUGCAGAAGAGGAGAGUGGAAUUCCAUGUGUAACGGUGAAAUGCGUAGAUAUAUGGAGGAACACCAGUGGCGAAGGCGACUCUCUGGUCUGUAACUGACGCUGAGGCUCGAAAGCGUGGGUAGCAAACAGG